ACAGGUAUUCCAGGAUUUGUACUCACCUCCAAAACUUUGUAGCUUCAUAUUCUAGAAGCCUGGUCUCCAGUGCAACAGUUUCUGAAGGCAGUAGAAUCUUCACAGCCUCCUGGAAGCUUCUAUGAGGAUUCUCCUUCACCCACCCACCUGAUGAUAUUAGCCGAAAUAUCCAGCAAAGGGAAAGAUAGAACCUGUAGAGACCGCACCAGUGGAAAUGCAAGAACAAAGGGAAGAACUGACAAGAAUUUUAAACCUCACCAACAAUAAAAGACUUGUUGAAUCCAGAUACAACAAAGACUUCAAAUGGAUUUUGCAUCCACUGAUGAUGUCUUUUUGCAUCGACUUGUCAUGUCUGAGUAUGGAGCAACACUUCAAAGCUUCAUCCUUUCCUAGCUAUGGGCACAAGUCUCAUCAAUGUUUGAAUGACUUUUAACAAUUUACAUGGAGAAGAAAGAUGAAGAUGUCUAUGAAAAUAAUGAAUACAACAUGAGAGUUUUCUGGCUCAGCUCAAUUAAAGGACAAAUCCAGUGCAGUGUGCAGCCAAAGAAUUGUAAUGAAGUCAGCUGUCAAACUCCCAGCUUACAGAAGCCUCUCUGUGGGGAAUUCGAUAGCCUCUUGUCAGCUGUUUCACCCACUCCAACACAGACAAAGGGUCUCUGAUGGCCUGCUUUAUUCUAAUAAAUCUACAUGGAGACAUAUGUAGAAAUCCCAACAGAAUAAUGUGUAAUUUGAUUUAACAUUUACAGUUGUCGUCUACUACUGAUCUAUCUCUCUGUGUCUGU
Molecule: small RNA, 782 nt
Filed under: Rattus norvegicus (Norway rat)
Lineage: Eukaryota; Metazoa; Chordata; Mammalia; Rodentia; Muridae
Description: uncharacterized LOC102547708
Source: RNAcentral